AGAGUUUGAUCCUGGCUCAGGACGAACGCUGGCGGCGUGCUUAACACAUGCAAGUCGAACGAUGAAGCCCUUCGGGGUGGAUUAGUGGCGAACGGGUGAGUAACACGUGGGCAAUCUGCCCUUCACUCUGGGACAAGCCCUGGAAACGGGGUCUAAUACCGGAUAACACUUCCCUCCUCCUGGGGGGUGGUUAAAAGCUCCGGCGGUGAAGGAUGAGCCCGCGGCCUAUCAGCUUGUUGGUGAGGUAAUGGCUCACCAAGGCGACGACGGGUAGCCGGCCUGAGAGGGCGACCGGCCACACUGGGACUGAGACACGGCCCAGACUCCUACGGGAGGCAGCAGUGGGGAAUAUUGCACAAUGGGCGAAAGCCUGAUGCAGCGACGCCGCGUGAGGGAUGACGGCCUUCGGGUUGUAAACCUCUUUCAGCAGGGAAGAAGCGAAAGUGACGGUACCUGCAGAAGAAGCGCCGGCUAACUACGUGCCAGCAGCCGCGGUAAUACGUAGGGCGCAAGCGUUGUCCGGAAUUAUUGGGCGUAAAGAGCUCGUAGGCGGUCUGUCACGUCGGAUGUGAAAGCCCGGGGCUUAACCCCGGGUCUGCAUUCGAUACGGGCAGACUAGAGUGUGGUAGGGGAGAUCGGAAUUCCUGGUGUAGCGGUGAAAUGCGCAGAUAUCAGGAGGAACACCGGUGGCGAAGGCGGAUCUCUGGGCCAUUACUGACGCUGAGGAGCGAAAGCGUGGGGAGCGAACAGGAUUAGAUACCCUGGUAGUCCACGCCGUAAACGGUGGGAACUAGGUGUUGGCGACAUUCCACGUCGUCGGUGCCGCAGCUAACGCAUUAAGUUCCCCGCCUGGGGAGUACGGCCGCAAGGCUAAAACUCAAAUGAAUUGACGG
This 893-nucleotide ribosomal RNA is filed under the name uncultured Streptomyces sp. Its description in RNAcentral is "bacterial SSU rRNA". It matches the Rfam family "Bacterial small subunit ribosomal RNA", at positions 8 to 916 of the family's 1533-position model. Lineage: Bacteria; Bacillati; Actinomycetota; Actinomycetes; Kitasatosporales; Streptomycetaceae. The record is from RNAcentral.